This 465-nucleotide ribosomal RNA is filed under the name Vreelandella stevensii. RNAcentral describes it as "partial 16S ribosomal RNA". It matches the Rfam family "Bacterial small subunit ribosomal RNA", at positions 338 to 795 of the family's 1533-position model. Lineage: Bacteria; Pseudomonadati; Pseudomonadota; Gammaproteobacteria; Oceanospirillales; Halomonadaceae. The record is from RNAcentral.
CCUACGGGGGGCUGCAGUGGGGAAUAUUGGACAAUGGGCGAAAGCCUGAUCCAGCCAUGCCGCGUGUGUGAAGAAGGCCUUCGGGUUGUAAAGCACUUUCAGUGGGGAAGAAAGCCUUGGGGCUAAUACCCUCGAGGAAGGACAUCACCCACAGAAGAAGCACCGGCUAACUCCGUGCCAGCAGCCGCGGUAAUACGGAGGGUGCGAGCGUUAAUCGGAAUUACUGGGCGUAAAGCGCGCGUAGGCGGUCUGAUAAGCCGGUUGUGAAAGCCCCGGGCUCAACCUGGGAAUGGCAUCCGGAACUGUCAGGCUAGAGUGCAGGAGAGGAAGGUAGAAUUCCCGGUGUAGCGGUGAAAUGCGUAGAGAUCGGGAGGAAUACCAGUGGCGAAGGCGGCCUUCUGGACUGACACUGACGCUGAGGUGCGAAAGCGUGGGUAGCAAACAGGAUUAGAUACCCCAGUAGUC